RNAcentral lists this non-coding RNA (24 nucleotides) under Arabidopsis thaliana (thale cress). Lineage: Eukaryota; Viridiplantae; Streptophyta; Magnoliopsida; Brassicales; Brassicaceae. The record is from RNAcentral.
UCUUUAAUGGAGUGGAAAGCCUUC